This 1122-nucleotide long non-coding RNA is filed under the name Gallus gallus (chicken). RNAcentral's name for it is "lncRNA (ENSGALG00010026215.1)". Lineage: Eukaryota; Metazoa; Chordata; Aves; Galliformes; Phasianidae. The record is from RNAcentral.
UGGACAAGCAGGUCUGACAGGUUGCAUUUUUGUUCCCAUUACUAUGAUGGGCACGAGGAUUCGUUCCCAUUUUCGUCAGCUGGCAUUCGGUCCUGGAUUUAAACCGCAACUGUGGCUGCAUUGCUGUGAAAUGUAUCACUGCUUAUGACUCACGUUGCAAAGGACACAUUUGUAAACUGACCCACCAUUGACAAAAUCCUCUCUUUCUUCAUUUGUAGGAGGCAAGAUGAGGCAUAGGUUCCUUGUCUGAUUCAUUUCCUGAGGAAAUUUUUACUCCCUGCAUCUUUUUCAGUCCUCAUUCAGUCAGAGAGCAGCAAAGUGAUUAAUACAAAAUCCAUGCCUGACACAGGCUGGAAGAAAGAUGCAAAUUCCUUUAGAACCAGCGCUUAAUUAAUCGCUCAGAAAAACAGUCCACUGCCAAAAAAUGGGGGGGGGAGGGGGUUAUUUUUUGGCUUUUUUCUUUUUCCCCCCUAGUUGAGAAAGCCUUUUCAGUUGGAAAGCCAAUGACAAGCAACGGCACACAGCAAAAUGCACGAAGGACAAAUCCAGCACCCUUUGAAAUCAACCCCUCGGAAGGAAGAAUUAGCAACCUGGACAGUGCUGCAGGCAACUCCAGCCCUCCUGCAUCUGCUGCUCGAUCACACUCACUCACAGCCAGCUCUGGUCCUUCCUCACCACACUGCAGAAAUCCUAGGAGAGCUGCGUAUCUAACAUCUCAGACAAACACAGACAAUGACCAGAAAAUUAAAACUGCCGGGAAUAAAAGAUAACACAAAGAGAGCCCUGGAGAAACUGCAAUCUACAGCCCACAGAUUCUGCUGCUCUUUGAGCAACGGGGCUGCACCAAGAGCAUACCCAGCUCACUUCACCAACUUAAACACACAUAUAUACCCGUGGAAAGCAAAAUGUAACACAGCAGGCAGUGCUAGAGCAUCACAACAAGUCGCGGAUUUAAUGCAAGCUCUUUGGGAUGCACUAAAAGCACCAACUGCCCCUACCGUCCUUGGCACAAAAUGCACCAGUCUGCCUUGGAUCCCCAGUUCUGGGGUUCCAAACAUGCACUGCCACACCACAACCAGUGUGCCUGCCCAUGGCCAUGGCACCAAGGUGCACAGAUAACAC